This is a long non-coding RNA of Xiphophorus couchianus (Monterrey platyfish), 340 nucleotides long. RefSeq lists it as uncharacterized. NCBI's taxonomy places the organism in Eukaryota, Metazoa, Chordata, Actinopteri, Cyprinodontiformes, Poeciliidae. The record is from RefSeq and is a predicted model, not a curated record. The transcript has 3 exons.
UAAAAAGGACACUAUUAGGAUUAAACACGCUAAGCAUAAAACAUAAUUCAUUGUCAAUUUGCAUUAUAUCAGAAGAUAUUUUUUAUGUAAAAACUCCAGACUCGCAUUUCCAAAGUUAUCUGUGUUUUCUAACUCAUUUUAAAGGUGUGAGUAUAAAAAAUGUAUACAGUAGAUGAAUGGAUAGUCUAAAAGCUGGUAAACAGAUGGAUGAUUGAUAAAUGGAUUUGUGAGUGGGAACUUGAUGGAUAAUAUGAUGGAUGGGAAAAUUGAUGAAUGGAGGGGGUACUCCGUCCAUCAAUGGAGCACCCCCAUUGAUGAAUGGGGGAGGAAUGGAUCAUCU